AUGGUGGGCCGCCCUCUUCCCUCCUUCCCCUCCCCGCCGCGCUGGCUCCGGGGGCAGCCGCCCCUCCGGACCCACCCGGGCCCGCCCGGGAGCCGCCGCCAGGCCCCGGGACGAGCCGAGCCGGGCCGGGCCGGGCCGGGCCCCGCGGCUUCCCGGGGGCCGCCCGCAGCGCCCUUACCUGCGCCGGCCUCACAUGGCCGGGCCGGGGCCAGCAGCACCGCGCCCCCCCGGCUCCCCCGGCGCCGCCGGUGUCGCUGCCCCCCGCUGCCCGGGCCGAGGCGUCGUUGCUCGCCCCGGGCCCGCAGUCUUUAUUUUUGCACGCCUGAACCCUUCCGCUCCCUCCUCCCCCCACCCCCACCAGGCAGCCAGGGUUUUAAGGACAGCACCGGGUGCCAGAAGAGGUGUCCUCGCAGCUUGGGGCAGGGUUCAGACCUCAGAGAUCUCGACAUCGUGUCCUGGAUUGUCAGAUUAAGGUGCUGCCAAGAAACUUUAAACAGAUUGACAAGUCUUCAGAUUCACCAUCAGAGACAAAGUCUGCUAUUAGAGGCAUGAGGUUACUGAAAGCAAAUCAUCCUGGUCCCUUCACCAGUUCAACCAUCAGUCUUGGCGAAAA
This 613-nucleotide long non-coding RNA is filed under the name Cairina moschata (Muscovy duck). RNAcentral describes it as "domestica (muscovy Duck (domestic type)) lncRNA (ENSCMMG00000000575.1)". The record is from RNAcentral. Lineage: Eukaryota; Metazoa; Chordata; Aves; Anseriformes; Anatidae.